This 375-nucleotide ribosomal RNA is filed under the name uncultured bacterium. Its description in RNAcentral is "bacterial SSU rRNA". It matches the Rfam family "Bacterial small subunit ribosomal RNA", at positions 28 to 404 of the family's 1533-position model. The record is from RNAcentral.
GACGAACGCUGGCGGCGUGCUUAACACAUGCAAGUCGAGCGGUAAGGCCCUUUCGGGGGUACACGAGCGGCGAACGGGUGAGUAACACGUGGGUGACCUGCCCUCAGCUCUGGGAUAAGCCUGGGAAACCGGGUCUAAUACCGGAUAUGACUCCAUGACGCAUGUUGUGGGGUGGAAAGCCUUGUGCGGCUGAGGAUGGGCCCGCGGCCUAUCAGCUUGUUGGUGGGGUGAUGGCCUACCAAGGCGACGACGGGUAGCCGGCCUGAGAGGGCGACCGGCCACACUGGGACUGAGGCACGGCCCAGACUCCUACGGGAGGCAGCAGUGGGGAAUCUUGCGCAAUGGGCGAAAGCCUGACGCAGCGACGCCGCGUGA